UUUUUAUGGAGAGUUUGAUCCUGGCUCAGGACGAACGCUGGCUGCGUGCUUAACACAUGCAAGUCGAACGCUGAAGCCAGAAGCUUGCUUCUGGUGGAUGAGUGGCGAACGGGUGAGUAACACGUGAGUAACCUGCCCCCGAUUUCGGGAUAAGCCCGGGAAACUGGGUCUAAUACCGGAUACGACCAAUCCUCGCAUGAGGGUUGGUGGAAAGUUU
This 217-nucleotide ribosomal RNA is filed under the name Brevibacterium linens. RNAcentral's name for it is "partial 16S rRNA. Bacterial SSU". It matches the Rfam family "Bacterial small subunit ribosomal RNA", at positions 1 to 210 of the family's 1533-position model. The record is from RNAcentral. Lineage: Bacteria; Bacillati; Actinomycetota; Actinomycetes; Micrococcales; Brevibacteriaceae.